This 31-nucleotide transfer RNA is filed under the name Oxyura vittata (lack duck). RNAcentral's name for it is "partial tRNA-Trp". The record is from RNAcentral. Lineage: Eukaryota; Metazoa; Chordata; Aves; Anseriformes; Anatidae.
AAACUUAGGAUAAUCACCCUAUAAACCGAAG